UGUAGUUGAGUCCUUAAUUAUUAAUUUCAAUUUGUUAGUAUUUUAUAUUCCAUUUCGACACUCAAAAAUUUAAAAAUAUGAAUAUAGUAUAUGACUAGUGCCUUUUAUUUAUUUAUUUCCGUUGCACUCUUUCAUUCAUUAUACAUAUCACCACUUUUGUUUAUAAAACUUUUCACUAUUUUAUCCGAGUUUGAAUUUAAAUAACUUUUUCCGAGAAGACAAUUUAGGAAUUUUAUUCCUAAUUAUUACACGACAUCCUCCUACACUUGGGAUUGCAUUUGUGCUACUCAUUUUUGAGUGAGUCACUGCCCCUUCCAGUUCCCACUCGGCCUUUCCCCUCUCAGAUCCACCCAACCCAAGCCUUGAUCUCUCUCUUUUAAGAUUCAACGCUGCCACCUACCACCACCAUUCAUCGUGAGCUUCCCCUCCUCAACCCUCUGUCUACAUCGGUUUUUCAACCUAUUCUUUUUCCCCAGUCAUGGAAUCCCUUGUUUGCUCAGAUCUAUUGUUGUCCACCAUGCACCACUAUUGCUACCGCCGUGCCACUCCUAGUGUUACCAUAGUAAGUUGUGUGCCACUCUAUUACGUAUUAACUUUUAGGCAUCAUUAGAUUUAACCGACUGUUUUUCCAUCUCACAGUGACAAACGCACACAUGCAUGGGAUACCUUAGAUAGCGAGCUCGAUCAUCCAAAAUUUACCUUCCGCGUUAUGACGGAUUUGAGCAUGAGGGACUGCCCCCACCUAAGGAUAACCUGGGGUUUAUCCCCGUUGUAGCUGAUUGGUUUCUUAUUUUAUUGUUUCAGCUAGAUGACUAUAAUAAUCUUUUUGAGAACUUCUUUGUUGGAUUAUAUUAGAAUUUCUCAUACUAUUCACAGUU
This is a long non-coding RNA of Carya illinoinensis, 878 nucleotides long. RefSeq lists it as uncharacterized. The record is from RefSeq and is a predicted model, not a curated record. NCBI's taxonomy places the organism in Eukaryota, Viridiplantae, Streptophyta, Magnoliopsida, Fagales, Juglandaceae. The transcript is spliced from 2 exons.